This is an RNA transcript of Cygnus atratus (black swan), 7342 nucleotides long. It is a transcript of the gene named tau tubulin kinase 2, with no coding region annotated. NCBI's taxonomy places the organism in Eukaryota, Metazoa, Chordata, Aves, Anseriformes, Anatidae. The transcript is spliced from 19 exons. The record is from RefSeq and is a predicted model, not a curated record.
GGGGCCGCUGUAGCGCUGCCGUCCCCCCACCCCCGGCGCCUCGCAGCCCUUCCCCGGGGCUGCCGGGCUCCUCAGGGACCCGCCGCCGCCGCCACCACCGCCUGCCUCGGCGCCGUUCCAGGAGAGUAAUAAAGAAAAAUUCCUUGCGCAGAAAAUGACCUUACUGCCACCUAUAGAGCUGCACUGCUGAAGGAUUCAUCCCUUGAAUGAGCAGUGGUUAAAUGGAAGCCACUCCUGGGAUCUGGAUGGUUUUUGCUGACCCAGACUUCGCAUAGCAGUUCCCGCGCAUCAGGAGGUUGCAAUGAGUGGAGGAGGGGAGCAGCCUGACAUCCUCAGUGUGGGAAUCUUGGUCAAAGAAAGAUGGAAGGUGUUAAGGAAAAUAGGAGGUGGAGGAUUCGGAGAAAUUUACGAUGCGCUGGACUUGCUUACUCGGGAAAAUGUUGCGUUGAAGGUCGAGUCAGCUCAACAGCCAAAGCAAGUACUGAAAAUGGAAGUAGCUGUGUUGAAGAAAUUGCAAGGAAAAGAUCAUGUCUGUAGAUUCAUUGGAUGUGGAAGGAAUGACCGAUUUAACUAUGUGGUCAUGCAGUUGCAGGGUCGGAAUUUGGCAGACCUGCGUCGGAGCCAGUCUCGAGGAACAUUCACGAUUAGUACUACUCUGCGGCUUGGGAAGCAGAUUUUGGAAUCUAUUGAAAGUAUUCACUCUGUGGGAUUCCUGCACAGGGACAUAAAGCCGUCUAACUUCGCUAUGGGACGUUUUCCUAGCACCUGUAGGAAGUGUUAUAUGCUGGAUUUUGGCUUGGCACGGCAAUUUACCAACUCAUGUGGGGAUGUCAGACCACCACGAGCUGUCGCUGGUUUUCGAGGAACAGUACGAUAUGCAUCAAUCAAUGCUCAUAGAAACAGAGAAAUGGGCCGGCAUGAUGACCUCUGGUCCCUGUUUUACAUGUUGGUGGAGUUUGUGGUUGGGCAACUGCCUUGGCGAAAAAUAAAAGAUAAGGAGCAAGUGGGCUCCAUUAAAGAGAGGUAUGAGCACAGACUUAUGUUGAAACAUCUUCCUCAAGAAUUCAACGUCUUUCUGGACCACAUUUCUAAUUUAGAUUACUUUACAAAACCUGAUUACCAGCUUCUCAUGUCUGUGUUUGACAACAGCAUGAAAACAUUUGGGGUUAUUGAAAGUGACCCUUUUGACUGGGAGAAGAGUGGAACUGAUGGCUCUCUGACAACAACAACAACUUCAACCACACCUCAGUUACACACUCGUCUUACUCCAGCUGCAAUUGGAAUUGCCAAUGCCACUCCUAUCCCAGGAGACUUGCUGCGGGAAAACACAGAUGAAGUGUUCCCUGAUGAACAGCUUAGUGAUGGAGAGAAUGGUAUUCCGGUUGGUGCCUCACCAGAGAAAAUACCAGGGUCCCCUGGCCAUCAACGUCCUCAGGAAAAAGAUGUUUGGGAAGAAAUGGAUGCAAACAGAAACAAAAUAAAACUGGGGAUUUGUAAGGCUGCCACAGAGGAAGAAAACAGCCAUGGACCAGUGAAUGGAAUGCUUAAUGCGCCAAGUCUCGGUUCUCCAAUUCGUGUCCGCUCAGAGACUACCCAGCUAGACAGAGAUGUCCCAUUAGUUCGAAAGUUACGUUCAAUUCACAGCUUUGAACUGGAGAAGCGUCUGAUGUUGGAGUCAAAGCCAGACACUGAUAAAUUUCUUGAGACCUGUUUGGAGAAGAUGCAGAAAGGCUUGAAUGCUGCGGCAGAGACUGCGGUUGCUGCUGUUCCUCCUCUUUCUCAGAAAACACCCAACCCUGCUCCUGUGACUGCACGCAUGGACCAUGUUUGGCACUAUGAUGAAGAAUAUCUUCCAGAUGCUUCAAAGCCUGUGUCAGCUAGUUCUCCAGAACAGGCUGAUGGUGUUGUUAGCAGUGGAUUUGUAGCUGUCAACUUAAGCUCCUGCAGGCAGGAGGUUGAUUCUAAAGAGUGGGUGAUAAUAGAUAAGGAACGGGACUUACAGGAUUUCAGGACAAAUGAAGCUUUAGGGCACAAAACAACUGGAAGUCCCUCAGAUGAAGAGCCAGAGGUACUACAAGUUCUAGAGGAUUCUCCUCCUGAAGAGCAGCCCAGACAGGGUGGUUGGGCAGGAAACAGUGUCCAUGCCAAGAACCAAACCUCAGGGGUGGAGUUUGUUCUAGCCAUGGAGUGUCAUCCUGCCGCUUCCGAACAGCUUACAGAUAAAUUGGAACUUCUGACCGGAGCUGCUGGACAGCUUCUUGCAGCCACCCCUACAAGUCCUAUGGAAGCUCAAGCAGAAGGAGCGCUCACUCCGCUCAACUCAUCUCACAUGCUGCAUUUCUCCACUCCAAGAAUUUCAAGUCCCAUCCUCCGCACCAUGAGCCCUAUAGCCUAUCUAUCCAUCCACUCGGACCCUCUGAAAGAGGCUGGUUUACCAAGGAGUCAAUCAGCUGAGAGCCACUCCUCUUCCUCACGCUCAACUGGUCGUAGGCAGCUUCCUGUCAUUCCCUGUGGCAACAAGUUUCCCCCUGUCAUUCGCAUCUCAAAAGCACAACUUCAGCAGGUAACAAUACCCAGGCCCUCGGUGGCAUCCACACAGUCUGCUUCAGAGAGUUUUCAGUAUGGCCACCAGCUAGGGAAAAGAGAGCAUGAUGUGCAAUCUAUGGAACACACAGUGGAACUCCCGUCUCCAAAGGAAGGCUUGCCAGGUUUGGUUGUGACAGAUGAUGUACUUCCAGGUAGUACCAGCACACCAGAUUUGGUACUUCAUAUCAGCCAAGAAGAGCUUGAAAGGGAAGGACAUGUCAAAGAAUAUGUCAGUGUCCCGGACAGUGGCCAAAAGGACCUACCUGAACAACAUAGCAGGAGACAGGAAGAGAAAGAACUUGAAAAUCUUCCUGUAGAGACUGAGGAAGAACAGCUUCCAGUAGUUUCUGAGGAUGUCAUUGAAAUGCAAAGCAAAGAACAGAAUUCUUUGCCGGGAAAUUCAAAAUCUGCAGAGGAAGAACUUCUUACUAAUACUGAAGCUGCUGAAGAAUCAAAGCCAAGGCCUGUCUGCUUGGUGCCAAAUCACGAUGAAGUUCUGAAGUCAAUAACACCUGAAACACCAGAUUUUUCACCCUCAAGACUUAUCAACUCACACAGUAAUAGACAGGCAAGCAAAAUAGCACCAGUUCAGGAAAAUGGUUUUCGUUCUAAUAAGGAAGAAGUCCAUAUCCAAGACUUGCAAUGCCACCAAGUGGCCCUUACUACUUUUUUGCACCAGGAGGACAAGAAGGAGAAAAAUACUCCCAGAAAUGGAGAGUUAUUCCACUGCAUUUCAGCGAAUGAGAAUUCUCAUCGAUCUAAGAAGGACUUGGUUAAAUCUCCUUUUGUAUUCAGGCAGAGCCGAAUCCCAGUUUUAGCACAAGAGAUAGACUCAACGUCAGAUUCCUCUUCUCCUGUUUCAGCAAAGGAAAAGCUUCUGCUAAAAAAGGCCCAUCAGACAGACUUGGUCAGACUACUUGUGGAAAAGAGACAGCUCAAAUCUUUCCUUGGUGACCUCUCAAGUGCCUCUGAUAAGUCACUGGAGGAAAAAAUGGUUGCUACUCCAGUACCAUUUUCUGAGGAUGAUGUAUUAUCCUCAUUUUCUAAAUUGACACUGGACUCUCAUUUCAGCAAGCAGACGGAAGAUAGUUCUUUGUCUCCAAGUAGCCCUCAGUCCAGAAAAAGCAAGAUACCCAGACCAGUGUCCUGGACUACCACUGAUCAAGUCACCAGUUCAAGCUCAGCUCAGUUCUUUCCUCGGCCACCACCAGGAAAACCGCCUACUAGGCCUGGGGUAGAAGCUAGGUUACGCAGAUACAGAGUCCUAGGGAGUAGCAGCUCGGACUCAGAUCUUAUCUCUCGUCUGGCUCAAAUCCUACAGAAUGGAUCUCAAAGACCAAGGAGUUCUACCCAGUGUAAGAGUCCAGGAUCUCCACAUAGUCCAAAAACACCACCCAAAAGCCCUGUCAUCCCCCGCCGCAGUCCCAGUGCCUCCCCAAGGAGCUCUUCCUUACCCCGUACUGCCAGUUCUUCUCCAUCACGGGCUGGGAGAACCCAUCAUGAUCAGAGGAGUUCCUCCCCACAUCUUGGGAGGAGUAAAUCACCUCCUAGCCAUUCAGGCUCCUCAUCUUCUAGGAGAUCCUGCCAACAAGAGCACUGCUACAGCAAACCAAGCAAGAAUGGUCUGAAAGGAUCUGGUAGUUCCUUCCACCAUUCUCCAAACACUAAGACUCCCACAGGAAAAAGCAAAUCAGCCACUAAGCUUAGCAGAUAGGAACUGGGCCUUGACAGGUAUAAAGCCGCCUCCUAAGUCUGAUGCAUGUUAUGUCUGUGUACUGUGUAUUUAAAAAAAUAAUCAAAAAAAAAUAUAAAAAAACAGUGUUGAAUCUGCGCUUUUUAAAGAACGUAAGCAUCAUAAACUAUUCAUGAGAAAGCAUACUGUGUAAAUGAGUGGCCAGGCAUUGCCUAGGAGCAGGCAGCAAGCAGGUCUAGGAAAGGGGAGGUAGAUGCCAGAAAAAGAAUGACUCGGUAGUCAAAGAGGUGCAAUGUAUUUAAAGUCAAAAAUAUCUCCAAGGUGAGUGUUUUUAAAAGGGUAUUUAUUUCUAUGUUUUCAGUUUACCUAGCUUAGAAGAUUAGGCCUAAUCAUUUAGGGCCUGUCUCAAGAAGUAUGUAAGAAAAAGUGAAACCCAUUAUUCCCAAAAUCAUGUCACCACUUGGGAGAUAAGUACUUCUCAAGCAUGCCUCUGUUGAUUUAAAAAAGCACACUGUUCAGAGGACAAUGGUAUUUCUACCUUAUGAGUCUCUUCAAUUUUGAGUUGCACACACCUGAGUCACUCAGUACUCAUUUUGUUCCCUGUCUACCAUACCACAGAUUUGCUUACCUAAAGAAGUAUCAUGUAACUUGCCCCUUCUUGAUUUUGAUGACAUUUUAAAAAUGAAUAUUAACGGUUGCCAAGAUGUUUUUGUAGUGGUAUUCUGUAGAAAUUUGUUUAGUACUAAUUAGGAUCCAAGAAGAAUUCUUGGUUCCAUUUUGUAUACUUCUUCAGGAGACAUAGGGGGUUCUUGAAACCUCAUUAUGUGGAAUAGAAAACCAUUCUCGUCUAGGAGAUGAGAGAAAGGAGAUGUCUGCAGUUCACCUAAUGUCACAGAUUUACAAUAAAUUGCAAUGCAUGAUAGAAAAGUUAGAAAACAGGAGUACCUGUUUUUCCCUAACUGAACUGUAAAAAGAAUCCUUUUUACUAUUGGCUUUUUAUUUAUUUUAUUUUAUUUUUUUAUUUUUUUUUUCCCAUUGGUGAUUUCCCAUCACUGAAAUCACUGAUCUUACAUUGAGGAAACAAUUACCAACCAAGAUUUUUUUUCGUGCUCGUUCUUUUUGUAAAAACAUGGAAGGUGAACACCUUGGUAGCUUCUAGCUGACAGAAAUACACUUAACACCCCUAACAAAGCCUUUGUAAGAGUAUUAAUCAGCAGAGCAAAAUAUACAGAAAGCAAUCAUAUUUUUGAUGUUGGGUUCUUGUCAUUCUUUUGCACAAAUGGUUCUUUGAUAACCAAGCUUUGCUGUCUGCCAGUGAAGUCCAUUGUGUCUAAUUCCUCCUACUUUUUUUUAGUAGUUACUUAAUAAUCUCUUGUGGUCUACUGGAUCUCUGUAAAAAACAUAACGGUUCAGCACCUUUUGCUAUAUUCAGAAGAGAAUAGUGGGUUAGAACAGUAACACACAAGAAUGCAAGCUUAAAGAAGGUGCAGCCAGCUCUCCCUGGUUAUACCUGUUGUGGGGAUGCUGGAUGUGCAGGAGACUUGUCAGUUGCUGAUCUGCUUGCUGUAGUCAUAUGCCUCUCCAGCCAGCAUCUGUGCUUUUUUAUUUAACCUCUGCCAAAGUAAUACCUUUGGAUUAGAAGGGAAUAUUUUGUCUCUGAGUUAACACAUUCUAAUGCUGCAUUAAAGCUGCCCUGGAGCUGCACUGAAUUUUACUUGCUCUGUCUGACUAUGUUGUUUUUUUUUUUCUUACUAUGAAUAUGUGUAUUGUUCAUCAUAUGUAAUGUAGCACAGUGUGGAACCUUAAUUUCAUUCAGGUUUCAAGCACUACAGAUGAAUGCAAUAGGUAGGGUAUACCUGCUUUUUCUGAAGAAACUGUACCAUUGGAAAGUCUUACUCCUUUGUAUUAUAUUGUAUAAUAGGCAUUAUAACAAUAAUUGCAUGUCCUCAUGGUAAAUUAUAUAAAUAUUUAUAUAUACAUAUAUGUAUAUGCUUAUAUAAACUCACUCUCAUUUUUCAUUUGUAAUUUAUGGACCACAAAUAAUACAGUUCCCUUUCUGUUAGUUCCUGAAUACUCCUGGCGUUGCAUCUCCUAUAUCCCCCCUAAAAAUUCUGGAAUGCACAAAAUCUAAUAGCCUUUAUACCUUGGUACAAGAUUGAAGGACUGCUGAUUUCUCAACCAGCCAAUAUUUUGUCUUGCAGCUUUCUUUCUUGCUUUAGAAUUGUGAGUACAUUUGCAUAUGAACAAGAACAGAGACUCAAAGAUGACUUGAUCUUUGACCCAACUCUUAUGUAAGGGAGCUGUAAUAGCAGCAGACCAGCUUGCUCCAAAAGAAUCAACCCAGAGACAAGCUGCAGUGUGUGUGUGAACGAUGUUAAUUUUCAAAUGCUUUCCUAUGAAUAUCCAAACCAGUAAAUUAAGGAAAUCACCAACGAUGCCUUCAGACAAGUACUGACUUCUUGAAGCUGUGAGCCAGUGUCCACUAAUCUAAAAUCUCUGGGCAAUACCAAAGAAUGAAAUUGGUAUGUUAACUAAAAAUACAAUGUUGUCACUCCAUAAUGAAUUACGCACUCAAUAACACAAUCUGCAGCACAAUUAAAUCAAGUAGAAAGUGGUUCCGAGGUUCUUUGUUCCUAUUGAGGAAGACAAGUGUUGAGUCCUUCAAAUUCUCUUGCUCAAUAAUUGCAGUUCCCUUUCCCCUUCUUGGGAAUCUUCUAAGCCAUUCUUUUUCUUUUAAGUUUGCUCAGGCACCCAAGAACAUAAAGAGUUGAUGCCCUUGUAAUGGUCAUUUGUACAUAAAGGUGUAAUUAUUUAUUUUCUCAUUUGUACCAUAUCAAGGCUUUGUACAAUGUUUUAAGUUUUGUUUUCAAAUUAUUUUGUAUUUUAUUUUUAUAAACUGGUUCUAAAUAAAAUAUUCAUUCAGCAUGCAAAACUUCAACCCUUGAGUGUGUUUGUAUGGUGAUUUUACUACUUAUAAAGUUGAAUUUACUUAUUUUUUUACUGCUGCACUGUAAACCCUGUACUUUAAACAGAGAAAAAGCUUUGAUUUUGAUUUUUUUUUCU